UAUCAUAUGAAGAUAAUGAAGAAAAUAUUAUUUCUUUAUAUAGGGAAAAGAAUCCUAAUGAUCCCUUUCAUUUUUUUAGAUUUAGAAUGACAAAAAAUAUGAUUGAUUUUAUAAUUCAAUUUGGUCCACUACAACCAAGUUCCAAUGAAUUUAUUUAUCCAAAAACUCAUAACAGGAGCAUGAAAGAUGCCUAUUAUAAAAAAAUAAAUUAUGACAAAUCAUUUUCUCAAAGAAAAUGGCUAUCAUAUAGCUCUAUUUUGGAUAAAGUAUUCUGUAUCUUCUGUAUUAUGUUUGGAAGUCAUCAAGCAAGCAUGCAAUGGACUCAUAAAGGUGCAGAUAGCUGGAAUAAUUUAGUCCGGGAUAUGGAGAGACAUGAAACAUCCCCUGUUCAUGCAGAUUGUGAAUAUGCACAUAUGGCAUGGAUUUCUCGGGGGCGUAUUGAUGACCACAUUUUAUUCAACCGAGAGGAAAUUAUAACCCAAAAUCGUUAUAAUAUCCAUAAUAUAAUUGAUGCUAUUGUGUAUUUAAUACGGGGCAAUAUUGCUUUUUGGGGAAGCAAUUCUCAUGAUGGCAUUACAUCUUCCACUAGAAUACCUGAUUGGGCAAAGUAUGGAUGGUGCUAGUAAUAUGAGAGGUGUUAAUAAGGGAGUACAGGCUUUAAUAUUUAAAGAAGCUCCUAAAGCUAUUUAUGUCUGGUGCCAUGCUCAUAGGCUUAAUUUAAUUGUUAUUCGUAUAUGUGGAUAUGGGAAUGAAAUUAAAAAAACUAUGGGAAUUUUAGAUGAAUUAUAUAAUUUUAUGAAUGGAGUUAAACGCCAGGGUGUUUUUACCAAAUUUCAAAUGCAAAAAACCAAAA
This is a long non-coding RNA of Gordionus sp. m RMFG-2023, 853 nucleotides long. RefSeq lists it as uncharacterized. NCBI's taxonomy places the organism in Eukaryota, Metazoa, Nematomorpha, Gordioida, Chordodea, Parachordodidae. The transcript is spliced from 3 exons. The record is from RefSeq and is a predicted model, not a curated record.